Molecule: ribosomal RNA, 200 nt
Filed under: uncultured bacterium
Lineage: Bacteria
Description: partial 16S ribosomal RNA
Rfam family: Bacterial small subunit ribosomal RNA
Source: RNAcentral
AUUGAACGCUGGCGGCAGGCCUAACACAUGCAAGUCGAGCGCCCCGCAAGGGGAGCGGCAGACGGGUGAGUAACGCGUGGGAAUCUACCCAGCUCUACGGAAUAACUCAGGGAAACUUGUGCUAAUACCGUAUACGUCCGAUAGGGGAAAGAUUUAUCGGAGUUGGAUGAGCCCGCGUUGGAUUAGCUAGUUGGUGGGGU